Molecule: transfer RNA, 73 nt
Filed under: Canis lupus familiaris (dog)
Lineage: Eukaryota; Metazoa; Chordata; Mammalia; Carnivora; Canidae
Also listed under: 1 other name
Rfam family: tRNA
About the family: Transfer RNA (tRNA) molecules are approximately 80 nucleotides in length. Their secondary structure includes four short double-helical elements and three loops (D, anti-codon, and T loops).
Source: Rfam by way of RNAcentral
GCCUGACUGGCUUAGUUGGUAGAGCAUGUGACUAUCAAUCUUAGGAUUGUGAGUUUAAGCACCAUGUUGGGCA